This 240-nucleotide RNase P RNA is filed under the name Muribaculaceae bacterium. RNAcentral describes it as "partial RNase P RNA component class A". It matches the Rfam family "Bacterial RNase P class A", at positions 1 to 242 of the family's 367-position model. Rfam says of the family: Ribonuclease P (RNase P) is a ubiquitous endoribonuclease, found in archaea, bacteria and eukarya as well as chloroplasts and mitochondria. Its best characterised activity is the generation of mature 5'-ends of tRNAs by cleaving the 5'-leader elements of precursor-tRNAs. Lineage: Bacteria; Pseudomonadati; Bacteroidota; Bacteroidia; Bacteroidales; Muribaculaceae. The record is from RNAcentral.
GCAGAAGAGAGGUCUGUCGCUUCAUGCCGGGUGCAUGAAGAGGAAAGUCCGGGCAACUCAGAGCACCAUACUUGCCAACGACAAGCCGGCGGCGACGUCGGGGGAAAUGUGACAGAAAACGACCGCCCGGGGUCGCAUGAUCACGGGUAAGGGUGAAAAGGCGGGGUAAGAGCCCACCGGAUGCCGUGGCGACACGGCAUGCCGCACAUCCUAUGGGUUGCAAGGCCAAAUACACCGGCA